Molecule: ribosomal RNA, 301 nt
Filed under: uncultured bacterium
Lineage: Bacteria
Description: partial 16S ribosomal RNA
Rfam family: Bacterial small subunit ribosomal RNA
Source: RNAcentral
CAGCAGCCACGGUAAUACAGAGGGUGCGAGCGUUAAUCGGAUUUACUGGGCGUAAAGCGUGCGUAGGCGGCUUCUUAAGUCGGAUGUGAAAUCCCUGAGCUUAACUUAGGAAUUGCAUUCGAUACUGGGAAGCUAGAGUAUGGGAGAGGAUGGUAGAAUUCCAGGUGUAGCGGUGAAAUGCGUAGAGAUCUGGAGGAAUACCGAUGGCGAAGGCAGCCAUCUGGCCUAAUACUGACGCUGAGGUACGAAAGCAUGGGGAGCAAACAGGAUUAGAUACCCCUGUAGUCCCUGUCUCUUAUAU